CCUACGGGGGUCAGCAGUGAGGAAUAUUGGUCAAUGGACGCAAGUCUGAACCAGCCAUGCCGCGUGCAGGAAGACGGCUCUAUGAGUUGUAAACUGCUUUUGUACGAGGGUAAACGCAGAUACGCGUAUCUGUCUGAAAGUAUCGUACGAAUAAGCAUCGGCUAACUCCGUGCCAGCAGCCGCGGUAAUACGGAGGAUUCAAGCGUUAUCCGGAUUUAUUGGGUUUAAAGGGUGCGUAGGCGGUCGGAUAAGUUAGAGGUGAAAUCCCGAGGCUCAACUUCGGAAUUGCCUCUGAUACUGGCCGGCUAGAGAGUAGUUGCGGUAGGCGGAAUGUAUGGUGUAGCGGUGAAAUGCUUAGAGAUCAUACAGAACACCGAUUGCGAAGGCAGCUUACCAGGCUACUUCUGACGUUGAGGCACGAAAGCGUGGGGAGCAAACAGGAUUAGAUACCCCAGUAGUC
Molecule: ribosomal RNA, 460 nt
Filed under: uncultured bacterium
Lineage: Bacteria
Description: partial 16S ribosomal RNA
Rfam family: Bacterial small subunit ribosomal RNA
Source: RNAcentral